Molecule: ribosomal RNA, 406 nt
Filed under: uncultured bacterium
Lineage: Bacteria
Description: partial 16S ribosomal RNA
Rfam family: Bacterial small subunit ribosomal RNA
Source: RNAcentral
AUUGAACGCUGGCGGCAGGCCUAACACAUGCAAGUCGAACGAGUGGCGGACGGGUGAGUAAUGUCUGGGAAACUGCCUGAUGGAGGGGGAUAACUACUGGAAACGGUAGCUAAUACCGCAUACCAUCAGAUGUGCCCAGAUGGGUUUAGCUUGUUGGUGGGGUAAAGUCUCACCAAGGCGACGAUCCCUAGCUGGUCUGAGAGGGUGACGAGCCACACUUGAACUGAGACGCGGUCCAGACGCCUACGGUAGGCAGCAGUGGGGAAUAUUGCACAAGGGGCGCAAGCCUGAUGCAGCCAUGCCGCGUGUGUGAAGAAGGCCUUCGGGUUGUAAAGCACUUUCAGCGGGGAAGCGUUACCCGCAGAAGAAGCACCGGCUAACUCCGUGCCAGCAGCCGCGGUAAUUC